GAGAUUGCUCAAAACAGCGCAUGCGUCGACUUCCUGUUUGUAUGAGUCGUUCGACUGAGCGCGUACACGUAAAAAAAAAAAAAAAAAAAACUAAUGUUACCAGGGCUUCACUUGCACCUCUGGUCAUAUCAGUAAAUAAAUAGAGAAAAGUUGCUCCUGUCUGGGAGUAGUGUUAGGUUAGUUGUUACAACGAGCAAGAAAGGUCGACAUGGAGCAAACAAAAUCUCGAACCUCCGGGGAAACGCCAAACAGGAGAGUCUGCUGGCAGAAGACAGUGCGACAGAGCUCGUGAUAAAACGAGAACCAAUAUGGCUAAUGGCUAAGCUUUUCGGAGCUGGCUAGAACUGGGAUAUUUGAAAUGUUGUAAAAGAGACGCGGAUGGCGUUUUUAUCACUGAACAGACAGGGACACCGGCAUGGAUCAAACCAGCAGUCGGCUGUCGUCCCAGCAGGAGCUCAGCUGUCUGUCUGUCUGCCUCCUGGAUGCCACAUGAGGGUCUCGUAUCUCAGACGCCCCUCCAGAAUGACAUUCCACCAUGACGUCUGCACAGUGUGGAGGCAUCCUGUGGACACGUACCGCCGGUGCGUCGCUGUCUGCGGUGCCGGUUACGCGCGGGCUCGCGCUCACCGCGUCACUCGGACUGGAUGCUGCGGGCAGAUGCCUGAUGGAGUUCUGUAACACAGGUCCGACUUGAGCAUCUGCAGUGAUUCCUCCCCAGACCGCGAGAUAAACAGUCACAACGUGAAUCAUGUAUUAUCACAAAGGCGGACCACAGUGACUGCAAGAUUAUCACCAAAUCCACACAGAAUGGAAAACAACAACCUUUCACCCCUAAACACAAGGAACUGUGGGUCUCCAUUACUCACUCCCCAGUGAUAAAUGUUGUAUGCUGACGAGGUGAAGGAGAGGUGAUGUGGACCUUUAUGUCUGUGAAUGAUAGACUGACUGAUGACUAAGACAAUCACAAUGGCUACGGCUCAUCUUCUCAUACUAUUAUUGGAUAAAACAUUGAUUUUUCUCAUUUGAUACCUAGUGCAAAGUGUACCUCAUAUGUUGUCUGAGAAGGUUAUUUUCCAUCUUAUACAGAAAGAGUAUAAUCAACUUUAUGAUUCACUCCACUACAACUUAUUGAAUCACUAAAAGACAAGAAAGUCUAAAAAUGCUCCCUAAAUGAUUGAUGGAAUAAAUUAGCUUAAAUAACUUGAGUUGUGAGGCUUUUUUGCAAAAACAAAAAAACAGUCCCUGAUGGAAUCUGCUGACUUUUUUACACAUUUUCUGUGCUUAAAAGUCUCACAAUGUGAAUGAA
Megalobrama amblycephala (Wuchang bream) is the source of this 1306-nucleotide long non-coding RNA. RefSeq lists it as uncharacterized. Lineage: Eukaryota; Metazoa; Chordata; Actinopteri; Cypriniformes; Xenocyprididae. The transcript has 4 exons. The record is from RefSeq and is a predicted model, not a curated record.